GGGCAUCGAGGCUGUGGCGCUUGAUUUCCUUUAAAGUGCCUACCACGCCACCCCCUAUCUGCAAGAAUCCAUCUGAAGAGGUCGCGGGGCAGCGGCUCCGCAGACAGACUGACCUGCGGGGAGGUGCGGUUUCCAGUGGCGCGGGACAAGCCGGCUCCGAGAGGGAACUGGGACCUUUGCCUAGGGCAAGACGUCAACAGGAACCCGCAGGCCCGCCCUGGACACCUGCUUCCCGCACUGGAGGCUUUAACUCCCACUCGAGUCUCUUGGCGUCGUCAGUGCCAGGAGCGCUUGGAUUGGGAUGGGGACGGAGAAAGGUGCCUCGCUCGCCGAGCCCCGCUGCACUUGGGGACCUGGCAAAGUCGAGGUUUCCUCACAGCGUUGAGAUUGAGACUGGGGAUCGGCAGCACUGAGGAGUAAAGGAAUAUUUGGGAGGAUCAGAAGCUUGGUCCUGAUUUUGCCAUCAACCAGGACCUUGAUGACUUCAAGGGAGUCCCCAAACCCUGGGUUUCUGUUUUCUCAACUCUAACAUGAGGGGCUAGACGCAUCUGGUUUAGUUCGUCUCCAUGAUCCUGUGAAUUUCAGAUGUUGAAAAUCUUCAGAAAAGCCCUGAAAGAUGAAGAGUCUUCACCAAACUCCUCCCUCCAGAAUAUUCCUCCAGAAUAUAAAAUGCCUCACCAACAUGAGACAACAGCAGGAAGCACCCAUUUGUAGUAAUCCUCUGUAUGGAGGAGGCUGUUACAUAACCACAAAGGCACAAAGCUGCAGUUUUGAGAACAUCUUCCCACGCCAGUUCUAAGCAUUGACCUCAACUAUGGUUGCUAACACAAGAAUCCGCACUGGUGACUUUUGAGCCAUCAAUCAUCCUUUCCUAACACAUGAUUCUUUUGGAAAAUGGUCUCAAAUAGUCAAGACCCCCUGCUGGGGGGAGCGUCUAUCCUGCUCUGUGGAA
RNAcentral lists this non-coding RNA (952 nucleotides) under Pongo abelii (Sumatran orangutan). Lineage: Eukaryota; Metazoa; Chordata; Mammalia; Primates; Hominidae. The record is from RNAcentral.